Molecule: long non-coding RNA, 736 nt
Filed under: Citrus sinensis (sweet orange)
Lineage: Eukaryota; Viridiplantae; Streptophyta; Magnoliopsida; Sapindales; Rutaceae
Description: long non-coding RNA (CSIN_LNC001716)
Source: RNAcentral
UUUUGGCCAGAGCUUUAUCUUAAAACAAAUUUAAGGGUGGCAGUUUACUGAAAUCAAAGACAGGCUAAACAUGUUCCGCUUCGAGGUAUAAAUUAGAAACUCAAGACCAUAAUUCAUCUUGAUAAGAGAGUUAAGUACUCGCGAAUUAAAAGAGAAGAAACCGAAUUAAAUCUUAAAUUCUUCCAUCAAAACGAAUAAAACCUCCAAUUCUUUCAUCAAAACUACAGGUAGUUCCACUACUGAUCACAUUAAAGUCCAUAUGCUUGCUUAACAAAAUCUCCAAUUUCUUCAUCAAAACUACAGAUAGUUCCACUACUGAUCACAUUAAUGUCUGUAGGGCUUGCUUAGGACUUUCAUUUUAUCAUAUUCAAUCAUCUCUGACAAACGAACAUCAAAUAACAUUCUUCUGCUUUCUUCAAUAGAGGAAAAGUAAUUUACUCCACUUCAGCCAAGUAAUCACGAAUUUCAUUUGGAGUCAAUACUCUGCAUUACAUUAAAAGAAAAGAUCAGCUAAAAGAAUCUGGAUACUUUCAUCACGACAAUGAAAAGGAUUGAAUGUUUAGAGCAAAGCUAAAUUUUCACAAACUGAUUUUCCAAUGGAUUUUGGUCUCAAAUAAGGCAAAUAUAUAAUUCCCCAAGAGGCCAAGCAUGUUCAAUAGGAAUUCAAUAGGAAAAAAACUGUAUUGACAAAUAUGGCCUGUGUGAACACGGGAAUGCAUGCACGCACAAACCAUCA